ACUCCUACGGGAGGCAGCAGUGGGGAAUAUUGCACAAUGGGCGCAAGCCUGAUGCAGCCAUGCCGCGUGUGUGAAGAAGGCCUUCGGUUGUAAAGCACUUUCAGUCGUGAGGAAGGUAGUGUAGUUAAUAGCUGCAUUAUUUGACGUUAGCGACAGAAGAAGCACCGGCUAACUCCGUGCCAGCAGCCGCGGUAAUACGGAGGGUGCGAGCGUUAAUCGGAAUUACUGGGCGUAAAGCGCAUGCAGGUGGUUUGUUAAGUCAGAUGUGAAAGCCCGGGGCUCAACCUCGGAAUAGCAUUUGAAACUGGCAGACUAGAGUACUGUAGAGGGGGUAGAAUUUCAGGUGUAGCGGUGAAAUGCGUAGAGAUCUGAAGGAAUACCGGUGGCGAAGGCGGCCCCCUGGACAGAUACUGACACUCAGAUGCGAAAGCGUGGGGAGC
This 440-nucleotide ribosomal RNA is filed under the name uncultured bacterium. RNAcentral's name for it is "bacterial SSU rRNA". It matches the Rfam family "Bacterial small subunit ribosomal RNA", at positions 335 to 769 of the family's 1533-position model. The record is from RNAcentral.